Molecule: ribosomal RNA, 1370 nt
Filed under: Haloarculaceae archaeon
Lineage: Archaea; Methanobacteriati; Methanobacteriota; Halobacteria; Halobacteriales; Haloarculaceae
Description: bacterial SSU rRNA
Rfam family: Archaeal small subunit ribosomal RNA
Source: RNAcentral
AUGCUAGUCGCACGGGUUUAGACCCGUGGCGUAUAGCUCAGUAACACGUGGCCAAACUACCCUGUGGACGAGGAUAACCUCGGGAAACUGAGGCUAAUCCUCGAUACAGCUUCCGUCCUGGAAUGGUGGAAGCUGGAAACGUUCCGGCGCCACAGGAUGUGGCUGCGGCCGAUUAGGUAGACGGUGGGGUAACGGCCCACCGUGCCAGUAAUCGGUACGGGUGAUGAGAGUCAGAGCCCGGAGACGGUAUCUGAGACAAGAUACCGGGCCCUACGGGGCGCAGCAGGCGCGAAACCUUUACACUGCACGACAGUGCGAUAGGGGGACUCCGAGUGCGAGGGCAUACAGUCCUCGCUUUUCUGUACCGUAAGGAGGUACAGGAAUAAGUGCUGGGCAAGACCGGUGCCAGCCGCCGCGGUAAUACCGGCAGCACGAGUGAUGGCCGAUCUUAUUGGGCCUAAAGCGUCCGUAGCUGGCCAGACAAGUCCGUUGGGAAAUCUGCGCGCUUAACGCGCAGGCGUCCAGCGGAAACUGUCUGGCUUGGGGCCGGAAGACUCGAGGGGUACGUCCGGGGUAGGAGUGAAAUCCUAUAAUCCUGGACGGACCGCCGGUGGCGAAAGCGCCUCGAGAGGACGGACCCGACAGUGAGGGACGAAAGCCAGGGUCUCGAACCGGAUUAGAUACCCGGGUAGUCCUGGCCGUAAACGAUGUCCGCUAGGUGUGGCGCAGGCUACGAGCCUGCGCUGUGCCGCAGGGAAGCCGUGAAGCGGACCGCCUGGGAAGUACGUCUGCAAGGAUGAAACUUAAAGGAAUUGGCGGGGGAGCACUACAACCGGAGGAGCCUGCGGUUUAAUUGGACUCAACGCCGGACAUCUCACCGGCACCGACAGUGUGCAGUGAAGGUCAGUUUGAUGAGCUUACUGGAGCCACUGAGAGGAGGUGCAUGGCCGCCGUCAGCUCGUACCGUGAGGCGUCCUGUUAAGUCAGGCAACGAGCGAGACCCGCAUCCCUAGUUGCCAGCAACACCAUUGGUGGUUGGGUACACUAGGGAGACUGCCGCUGCUAAAGCGGAGGAAGGAACGGGCAACGGUAGGUCAGUAUGCCCCGAAUGUGCCGGGCAACACGCGGGCUACAAUGGCCGAGACAGUGGGAUGCGACUCCGAGAGGAGGAGCUAAUCCCCGAAACUCGGUCGUAGUUCGGAUUGAGGGCUGGAACUCGCCCUCAUGAAGCUGGAUUCGGUAGUAGUCGCGUGUCACUAGCGCGCGGCGAAUACGUCCCUGCUCCUUGCACACACCGCCCGUCAAAGCACCCGAGUGAGGUCCGGAUGAGGCCACCGCACGGUGGUCGAAUCUGGGCUUCGCAAGGGGGC